Molecule: ribosomal RNA, 638 nt
Filed under: uncultured bacterium
Lineage: Bacteria
Description: bacterial SSU rRNA
Rfam family: Bacterial small subunit ribosomal RNA
Source: RNAcentral
ACCUGCCCCUGUGCGGGGGAUAACAGGAGGAAACUCCUGCUAAUACCGCAUAGCCAUGAGCACCGCAUGGAGCUCAUGCCAAAUAUCCUUUCGGGGAUAGCGCAGGGAUGGACCUAUGGCGCAUUAGCUGGUUGGCGGGGCAACGGCCCACCAAGGCAACGAUGCGUAGCCGGCCUGAGAGGGCGGACGGCCACAUUGGGACUGAGACACGGCCCAGACUCCUACGGGAGGCAGCAGUAGGGAAUUUUCGGCAAUGGGGGAAACCCUGACCGAGCAACGCCGCGUGAGCGAAGAAGGCCUUCGGGUCGUAAAGCUCUGUUGUAAAGGAAGAACGGCGCAUACAGGAAAUGGUAUGCGAGUGACGGUACUUUACCAGAAAGCCACGGCUAACUACGUGCCAGCAGCCGCGGUAAUACGUAGGUGGCGAGCGUUAUCCGGAAUCAUUGGGCGUAAAGAGGGAGCAGGCGGCCGCAAGGGUCUGUGGUGAAAGACCGAAGCUAAACUUCGGUAAGCCAUGGAAACCGGGCGGCUAGAGUGCGGAAGAGGAUCGUGGAAUUCCAUGUGUAGCGGUGAAAUGCGUAGAUAUAUGGAGGAACACCAGUGGCGAAGGCGACGGUCUGGGCCGCAACUGACGCUCA